UUCCGGUUGAUCCCGCCGGACCCCACUGCUAUCGGGAUAGGACUAAGACAUGCUAGUCGUGUGCCUCAGCCAAAACGAGGCACGGCGCACAGCUCAGUAACACGUGGCUAACCUGCCCUUAGGACGAGAAUAACCCCGGGAAACUGGGGCUAAUGCUCGAUAGGUGAAGAACUCUGGAAUGAGUCUUCACUUAAAAGAGUCUGCGUUAUGCUCGUAGAUUUCGCUUAAGGAUGGGGCCGCGACCGAUCAGGUUGUUGGUGAGGUAAUGGCUCACCAAGCCUUUUACCGGUGCGGGCCGUGAGAGCGGGAGCCCGGAGAUGGGCACUGAGACAAGGGCCCAGGCCCUACGGGGCGCAGCAGUCGCGAAAACUUUGCAAUACACGAAAGUGUGACAGGGCUAUCCCGAGUGCCAUCCGCUGAGGAAGGCUUUUACCCAGUCUAGAACGCUGGGGGAAUAAGGAGAGGGCAAGUCUGGUGUCAGCCGCCGCGGUAAUACCAGCUCUCCGAGUGGUGUGGAUGUUUAUUGGGCCUAAAGCAUCCGUAGCUGGCUAAGUUAGUCCCCUGUUAAAUCCAACGAAUUAAUCGUUGGAUCGCGGGGGAUACUGCUUGGCUAGGGGACGAGAGAGGCAGACGGUAUUUCCGGGGUAGGGGUGAAAUCCUAUAAUCCCGGGAAGACCACCAGUGGCGAAGGCUGUCUGCUAGAACGCGCCCGACGGUGAGGGAUGAAAGCUGGGGGAGCGAACCGGAUUAGAUACCCGGGUAGUCCCAGCUGUAAACGAUGCAGGCUAGGUGUUUGGACGGCCACGUGCCGUUCUAGUGCCGCAGGGAAGCUGUUAAGCCUGCCGCCUGGGGAAUACGAUCGCAAGAUUGAAACUUAAAGGAAUUGGCGGGGGAGCACCACAAGGGGUGAAGCUUGCGGUUUAAUUGGAGUCAACGCCGGG
RNAcentral lists this ribosomal RNA (941 nucleotides) under uncultured crenarchaeote. RNAcentral describes it as "bacterial SSU rRNA". It matches the Rfam family "Archaeal small subunit ribosomal RNA", at positions 1 to 922 of the family's 1478-position model. Lineage: Archaea; Thermoproteati; Thermoproteota. The record is from RNAcentral.